UACGGAGGGUGCGAGCGUUGUCCGGAAUCAUUGGGCGUAAAGAGCUCGUAGGCGGUUUGUCGCGUCGGCCGUGAAAUCUCCACGCUUAACGUGGAGCGUGCGGUCGAUACGGGCAGACUUGAGUUCGGUAGGGGAGACUGGAAUUCCUGGUGUAGCGGUGAAAUGCGCAGAUAUCAGGAGGAACACCGGUGGCGAAGGCGGGUCUCUGGGCAUUAACUGACGCUGAGGAGCGAAAGCAUGGGGAGCGAACAGG
Molecule: ribosomal RNA, 253 nt
Filed under: uncultured bacterium
Lineage: Bacteria
Description: partial 16S ribosomal RNA
Rfam family: Bacterial small subunit ribosomal RNA
Source: RNAcentral